CAGUUCGGAUUGUAGGCUGCAACUCGCCUACAUGAAGUCGGAGUUGCUAGUAAUCGCGGAUCAGAAUGCCGCGGUGAAUGCGUUCCCGGGUCUUGUACACACCGCCCGUCACACCAUGGAAGUUGGGGGCGCCCGAAGUUGGUCGAGGAAUAGAUUACCUAAGGCGAAACCAAUGACUGGGGUGAAGUCGUAACAAGGUACC
Molecule: ribosomal RNA, 202 nt
Filed under: uncultured bacterium
Lineage: Bacteria
Description: partial 16S ribosomal RNA
Rfam family: Bacterial small subunit ribosomal RNA
Source: RNAcentral